UUGGCUUCAUUUCGUGCGGUACUU
This 24-nucleotide non-coding RNA is filed under the name Arabidopsis thaliana (thale cress). Lineage: Eukaryota; Viridiplantae; Streptophyta; Magnoliopsida; Brassicales; Brassicaceae. The record is from RNAcentral.